Molecule: ribosomal RNA, 230 nt
Filed under: uncultured bacterium
Lineage: Bacteria
Description: partial 16S ribosomal RNA
Rfam family: Bacterial small subunit ribosomal RNA
Source: RNAcentral
AAAGCGCGCGUAGGUGGUUUGUUAAGUUGGAUGUGAAAGCCCCGGGCUCAACCUGGGAACUGCAUCCAAAACUGGCAAGCUAGAGUAUGGUAGAGGGUGGUGGAAUUUCCUGUGUAGCGGUGAAAUGCGUAGAUAUAGGAAGGAACACCAGUGGCGAAGGCGACCACCUGGACUGAUACUGACACUGAGGUGCGAAAGCGUGGGGAGCAAACAGGAUUAGAUACCCUAGU